ACAGAGGUCCCAAGCGUUGUUCGGAUUCACUGGGCGUAAAGGGUGCGUAGGUGGCUAGGCAAGUUUGGUGUGAAAUCUCCGAGCUUAACUCGGAAACGGCACUAAAAACUGCUUGGCUGGAGGGUCGGAGGGGAGGCUGGAAUUCUCGGUGUAGCAGUGAAAUGCGUAGAUAUCGAGAGGAACACCAGUGGCGAAAGCGAGUCUCUGGACGACUCCUGACACUGAGGCACGAAAGCUAGGGGAGCAAACAGGAUUAGAUACCCUGGUAGUCCUAGCUGUAAACGGUGCACAUUUGCCGUGAGAGGAUUCGACCCCUUUCGUGGUGGAGCUAACGCGUUAAAUGUGCCGCCUGGGGAGUACGGUCGCAAGAUUA
Molecule: ribosomal RNA, 373 nt
Filed under: uncultured bacterium
Lineage: Bacteria
Description: bacterial SSU rRNA
Rfam family: Bacterial small subunit ribosomal RNA
Source: RNAcentral